AGAAAUUCAAUCAUAAUGCCUCAUGUAUUUACAGAUGUCAAAUUAGGAGCGUAAAUAUAGUGGGGGUGUGGCAAACCUGUUUGCAAUUGCAAUUGCGCCGCUGGACUUGCAGAUCACUCUUAUGGUUUGUACCGGAUUGAGUUGGGUGGAGGUAACCUUUGUGCAGAUGAGUUUCCUUCGGGGUAUCCGGGGUUUACUCUGAAUUCUCUUCGUUAGCCUCCAGGGUUUUUU
RNAcentral lists this long non-coding RNA (231 nucleotides) under Lathyrus oleraceus (garden pea). RNAcentral describes it as "Pisum sativum (pea) long non-coding RNA (PSAT_LNC026263)". The record is from RNAcentral. Lineage: Eukaryota; Viridiplantae; Streptophyta; Magnoliopsida; Fabales; Fabaceae.